Molecule: long non-coding RNA, 389 nt
Filed under: Mytilus galloprovincialis (Mediterranean mussel)
Lineage: Eukaryota; Metazoa; Mollusca; Bivalvia; Mytilida; Mytilidae
Source: RNAcentral
UCCGAGGUCCGCGACCUUCCACUUUUGCAAGCGGAAUUUCGACUAGGAUAGUUGGUUUCUAGCUACGCCCGACGUAGUCACCUUCCACUUGAAAGAAAAUAAGAAAUUACUUUGCAAACCAUGUUCACCAAAGUCUCCAAUUAAACGAGCUAAAAACUUAUUUUUAUCAUUAUUAUUCAUGACAGCGAUGUUCAUUUUGUUCAACCGCUAGCUUUAUACAGAAAAUCGCCGACAAAUAUUGUAUAAAUUCGAGUAAAAUCGUAUCUGAUUGACAAAAACAACAUUGUAAACACAUAACAAUGGCGGCCGUGAAGACAAAAUUUUACAAUAUCGGAUCCGAUUCCGGAAGCGGAUAAGGAUAAUUCCGGGUUUGGCGAUCAAUUACAAAA